This 774-nucleotide long non-coding RNA is filed under the name Rattus norvegicus (Norway rat). RNAcentral describes it as "long non-coding RNA NONRATT004463". Lineage: Eukaryota; Metazoa; Chordata; Mammalia; Rodentia; Muridae. The record is from RNAcentral.
UCUCAGUGUGUUCUGUCGACCAGCAGCAGCAUCACCUGAGUUCUCCGGCCCCGCCCCAAGCCACUGAAUUAAUCAGACUUGGGGCUGGGGCCCGGGCACUCUGUUUUAACAUGCUCCCAGGUGAUUCUGAUGCUGGCUAGUUUGAGAACCACUGCUGUGGUGGAGGUGCUCAGUGGGAUUGAGGUAAGAAGCACAGUAUGUUUUACCCACUUUACAACUUCAGAUGGUUCAGCCUUUGUUUUGCUCUUGAGUUCCUACUGCCUCCAUGUUUUGAAGUCCUUGGGGGUACAAGGGGAAGGGAGGACAUCUUGGGGGAUAGCAGCUCCCCUACUAAUAUUUUAUUGUGGCACUGUGGAGAUGUGCUCCAGGCCCUCCCCUUCCCCUCACUACUUUGACCACUUUCUUGCUCUGCCUUCCAGCCCUAGACUCCAAUAAAAUGUCACCAAGAAUGGAGUUGGGUGGAGGCUGAAGCUGGUUCGAGGGAUCCUGGCUUUGCUGCCCUCACCUUUCUCAUGACUUUUCCCUCAACCAGACAGCUAUUAAAAGAAACAACCCCAGGAAGUUUCUGCGAAGUGUUGGAGAUGGGGAGACUGUGGAGUUUGAUGUCGUGGAAGGAGAGAAGGGUGCAGAAGCUGCUAAUGUAACUGGGCCUGGGGGGGUGCCAGUGAAGGGCAGCCGCUAUGCCCCCAAUCGACGUAGGUUCCGUAGAUUCAUUCCUCGGCCUCGCCCGGCUGCCCCACCACCCAUGGUGGCAGAGGCUCCCUCAGGUGGGAC